AGUACGUGAAACUGUAUAGUAGUAAACGGAGGGGCUCUCGAAGUCGGCGGUGGCGGUUCAGGGUGACGGCGGGGCGGCCUGGGGGUUUGGGAUCCGCAAGGACCCUGCCCCUUUGUCGGCUCUGUCGGCGCCUGCACUUCGCUGCCGCCUCACGCGACGAACCGUUCUUUUCGGACCGAGGGCGUGGGUGAAGUUUGUUGGCCUCGGUUGGCAAGCCCCGCGUUCCUGGCUCUGGAGGGGACGGGUAUUUGAGUGGUCUCGUAUAGCGAGUGAUAUCCUAUCACGGGCCGCAUCUCUGUCGCGAGUAGGUCGGUGGCCCUUUCGACCCGUCUUGAAACAAGAACCACA
This 348-nucleotide ribosomal RNA is filed under the name Dioithona rigida. RNAcentral's name for it is "partial 28S ribosomal RNA". The record is from RNAcentral. Lineage: Eukaryota; Metazoa; Arthropoda; Copepoda; Cyclopoida; Oithonidae.